RNAcentral lists this ribosomal RNA (928 nucleotides) under Nagrajchalara yinglaniae. RNAcentral's name for it is "partial large subunit ribosomal RNA". It matches the Rfam family "Eukaryotic large subunit ribosomal RNA", at positions 34 to 979 of the family's 3401-position model. The record is from RNAcentral. Lineage: Eukaryota; Fungi; Ascomycota; Leotiomycetes; Helotiales.
UUAAGCAUAUCAAUAAGCGGAGGAAAAGAAACCAACAGGGAUUACCUCAGUAACGGCGAGUGAAGCGGUAACAGCUCAAAUUUGAAAUCUGGCUCUUUCAGGGUCCGAGUUGUAAUUUGUAGAAGAUGCUUCGGGUGUGGCUCCGGUCUAAGUUCCUUGGAACAGGACGUCAUAGAGGGUGAGAAUCCCGUAUGUGACUGGCUGCCUCCGCCCAUGUGAAGCUCUUUCGACGAGUCGAGUUGUUUGGGAAUGCAGCUCAAAAUGGGUGGUAAAUUUCAUCUAAAGCUAAAUAUUGGCCAGAGACCGAUAGCGCACAAGUAGAGUGAUCGAAAGAUGAAAAGCACUUUGGAAAGAGAGUUAAACAGUACGUGAAAUUGUUGAAAGGGAAGCGCUUGCAAUCAGACUUGCACGCUGCCGAUCAUCCGGGGUUCUCUCCGGUGCACUCGGUUGCGUUCAGGCCAGCAUCGGUUUGGGUGGUUGGAUAAAGGCCUUGGGAAUGUAGCUUCUUUCGGGGAGUGUUAUAGCCCUCGGUGCAAUGCAGCCUACCUGGACCGAGGACCGCGCUUCGGCUAGGAUGCUGGCGUAAUGGUUGUAAGCGACCCGUCUUGAAACACGGACCAAGGAGUCUAACAUCUAUGCGAGUAUUUGGGUGUUAAACCCAUAUGCGUAAUGAAAGUGAACGGAGGUGAGAACCCUUAAGGGUGCAUCAUCGACCGGUCCUGAUGUCUUCGGAUGGAUCUGAGUAAGAGCAUAGCUGUUGGGACCCGAAAGAUGGUGAACUAUGCCUGAAUAGGGUGAAGCCAGAGGAAACUCUGGUGGAGGCUCGCAGCGGUUCUGACGUGCAAAUCGAUCGUCAAAUUUGGGUAUAGGGGCGAAAGACUAAUCGAACCAUCUAGUAGCUGGUUCCUGCCGAAGUUCCCCUUCAGGA